CGAUUCUGGAAGAAGAAAAUAAUGGGGUGUUUAAAAAGGAAUUUCAAAUUAGUAACAAACUAAACUAAUCUUAAAAUAUGGGUAUCUUUGGGGGGGACUUUUUUUCACUUUUAAAAGAUAUGUAGUUGUAAAAUACACAUAAGGAAAAAUUUGCCACCUUAACCAUUUUUAAGUGUACGGUUGGUUAAGUAGUGUUAAGUAUGUUUGCAUUGUUGUGCAACCAAUUUGCAGAACUUUUUCGACUUGAGAAACAAACUCUAUACCAGUUAAACUACUCCUCCACCCCCGUCUCAUUCUGUUUUGUUUCUAUACUGUAUGGGUGUUUUGAGCUGAGUGCCAAGUCCGUUUUGUAAUUUGCUUGAAACAUAUAGGUACGUUGCCAAAACACUUAAACAGCUCAGAAGGUUGAGUUUCCUUAUCCUUAACUUUCAGCCUCCUACUUACUCUCUGGUAGGUUUCCAAAAAUAUUCUGUGCAUUUAUAAAUAUAUUUGGGUACAGAGUCCUAAACACACACACACACACCCCACUUUAAAAAAUAGUAGCAAAGUCCCUUCUGGGCCUUUUUAGCUAAUUUUAGCUGGGUAUUUUUAGCUAAUAUGUCUUGGAACAUAUUUUCAGUACAUGUUGAUCUUCCUCCCUUUUAAUAGUUACAUGGUGUUCUGUUUGUUUAACCAACAAACAAUCAUUGGAUACCAGAUCAUUUCUAGUUUUUUGUUACUCCGUCUUUGCUGCAAUGAUUAUCCUUGUAUUCACCUGUCUGCACAUAUUUGAGUGUAUCCAUAUGAUAAAUUCUUGGAAAUGAAGCUGUUGGAUCAAAGAGUAUAGGUAAUUAAAAUUUUGAUAGCUAAUACCAAUAGCCUUCCAAAGAGAUUGCACAUCCAAAAGGAUGAAUGAGAUUUCCUAGUCCAACACGUUGGCAAACAGCAAAAUGUUUGAUAAUAAAAAUACUUGUUUUGAUAAUAAAAAUCUAACUAGAGAAAAAAAUGGCACCUCAUUAUAGUUAAAAUUUGUAUCAAAGAGUGAGGAUGAGGAUCUUUUUAUAUGUUUAAAGCAGCAGUUCUCAUCAAGGAGCAAUUUUGACCCCCAUAGGACAUUUGGCAAUAUCUGGGAACAUUUUUGAUUGUCACAAUUGAGGGGGGUUGCUACUGGUGUCUAAUAGGUGGAGUCCAGAGAUGCUGGUAAACAUAAUGGACAGCAUAGCCCCCUUCAACAAAGAAUUAUCUUGUCCAAAAUGUCUUUAGUAGUGUAGAGAUUGAGAAAUCCUGGUUUAAAGCCAGCUGUGUAUCUUUUUCUUUGCCUGGCUUACACAAUUAGGUUUUUGGUUGAUCUCUAAGCUCUCUAGUGUAAAAAUAUUUGUUCUAUAUCAUAUGUGUUAGAAAUGUUUUUCUCUGUUUUUUUCAUUGCAUCGAGUUUGACUAUCCAGUUUGUUUACCAUGCAGAAACAUGUCCUUUUAUCAAGUCAGAGUUAUCAGUCUAUUCUUUUUUUUUUUUGGCUGCACCCUGUGGCAUGCGGAUCUUAGUUCCCUGACCAGGGAUGAACCUGCGCCCUUGGCAGUGAAAGCACGGAGUCCUAACCACUGGACGGCCAGGGAAUUCCCCUCAAUCUAUUCUUUUAAAGUUUUUGUGUUUUUGUGACAAAGCUAUAAGGCCAUCUUAAACUAAGUUUUUUGUUUUAUAAUUUUUAAGUAUUCUUUUAGUAUUUCUGUGGGGUUUUUUCCCCACUCAGAUUUUUAUCUACCUGAAAUGAAAUACUGUUUUGCAUACUAUUUUGGCAUAGGAGGUGAGUUAGGAAACCCACUUAUUUUGGUUCAGAUGGCUGGCUGUGCAGUUGUUCCAGCACCAUUGGCUGACUAGUUAUUUUUUUCUUUCUAUUAGAAAUUCCACCUCUGAAUUCUUGUAUAUCUAGGGGUCUUUUUUAAAAUUCUAUUACGUUGGUCUGUCUAUUCAUGUAACAGUACUAAACUAUUUUAAUUGCUCUAGUUUUAUAAAAUGCUUUAGUCUCUUGGAAAGCUAGUUCCUGCCUCAUUUGGAUUUCUUCUCAGAAUUUUAAGUGAUUGUUUUUCUUUCCUAAAACAGAUAAAAGUUUCAUCACAUUUACCAUGAUUUUGAGGUCCCAGAGAAUUUUGGUAAAUUGUAGUGUAGGUUAACUCUACUUCAGCAAGUUUUAGGCGUCUACCAAUAGUACUGAGGAAUUUGGAACCUUUUUUCUUUCUUGCCUUCUAUACUCUGGUUCUAAUGCUUUACAGAUGGAGGAGUUCCUUAGUAGUACUAAGGCCCGGUCUUCAGGUUAAGAGGAAAGCUGCCUUUGCCCUUCUUUCUGCCAAUUCCUGAGACCUUGAGCAUGAAAAUGUCCUUUAUCCUACUGGGAAUGAAUCCAACUAAACCAAAGGCAAAGGGCACCUCAGACCUUCAAUCUGGGAACACUUUUCUUCUUUCUGUAGUAAAUAAGGCAUGAGAAAGAAAGAAAAAAUAUUUGGAUUGGACUGAAAGAAACAAUGCUGUCAUUAUUUGCAGAUAAUAUGAUUACAUAGAAAACCAAAAUAAUGUAUAACUAAAUUAUUAGUUUAAUAAGAGUUUGACAAAUUUUCAGUAUACAAAAGUAAAUGAGGAGAAUUCAAUUUGCACACAAGCAAAAAUCAACAAGAAAUAUAGUACAAUGGCAGUAAAAAUGAGAAGUUCAAAAUCCAGAAUAUGGGCUAUACUACAGGACAAAUGAUCUAUAUUUUUCAGCCAAUAAAUGGCAUAAAGAAAAUGGAAAGGGGAGCUGUUAUAGAUUAAAAGAGACUUAUAAGAUAUACAGGCAUACCUAGUUUUAUUGUUUUUAACCUUUAUUGUGCUUUGCAGAUAUUGUGUGUUUUACAAACUGAAAGUUUGUGGCAACCGUGCUUUGAUGGUUAGCAUUUUUUAGCAAUGAAGUAUUUAUUUAAGAUAUGUACAUUUUUUUUAGACAUAGUACUGUUGCACACUUAACAGAAUACAGUGUAGACAUAACAUUUAUAUGCACUGGGAAACCAAAAAAUUUGUGUGACUCGCUUUAUUUCAAUAUUCACUUUAUUGUAGUGGUUUGGAACUGAACUUAAAAUAUCUCGAGGUAUGUCUGUAACAAAUUAAUGCAAUGUGAAGUCCUGACAGGAUCCUGAUUUGAUCAAACCAACUGUAAAAAGACAUUUUUGAGAUAGUUGUUAAACUUUGCAUAUGGAUAGGUACUAGUUGAUAUUGAGGAAUUAUUGUCAAUUUUUUUAGUUGUGAUAAUGAUAUUGUUAUAUAAAAGUUAGAAAUGCAUACUGAAGCAUUUAUAGGUGAGAUUAUAUGACUUCUGAGAUUGGCUUUCUGAUUAUCACUUUCAAAUUUUGAUAAUUGUUGAAUUGUUAAAUAAAAAUGGGAGCUUAUUUUAGUAUUUUCUCUAUUUUUGAAUAUAUUUGAAAACAUCAUAAUAAAAAUUUAAAAAUGGUCUUUAAGCAUCUUUGCGUUGUUAGUUGCAAGGGAAAGAAUAGUAAUUACACAGUGGAAAAAUCUGAUAACACCGUGGUUGGAUGGCCAAAAUUAACAUUACAUUUGAUUACAGAGAGACACUGUGUAGUUUCAGGUGUGAAAUAGAGAGAAAUACCAUGUUAAUGGAUUGGAGCACUCAGUGUCAUAAAGAUGUCAGUUCUUCCCACAUUGAAUUCUAGAUUCAGUACAGUUUCUAUCAAAAUCCCAACUGAUUUUGCUUGUGCAAUUAAAUAAGCUGAUUCUAAAAUACAUGUGGAAAGACAAAGGUCCAAGUAUAUCCAAGAAAGCUGUUAUAUUUAAGACAGUGCAAUCCAUGUAGCCAAAUGGAGCAGAAUAGAGAGCCUAGAUACAGAUCUGUAUAUUUAGGGAGACUCAGUCUAUGACAAAGCUGACAUUAAAGAUCUGUGGGAAUGAUGGACUUUUCAGACUGGGACAGUUGGUUAGCCAUAUGGGGGAAAAUGUAGUUGGAUCCCUACCUCAAUUCCUAUACAAAAAUUCAUUCUAUGUAGAUUAAAGACAAAAAUUUAAAAGAUAAACCAUAAAAUUUUUGGAAGAAAAUUAAUACAAUUUUGGUUACAGAUGGAUUUCUUAACCCCAAAAGCAUUGGCUGUAAAAGAAAAGAUUCAUAAAUUCUGCUAUAUGAAAAUAAUUUCUGCUCAUCAAAAUAUACUAUAAUUGUGAAAAGGAAGCCACAAAUGAAAAGAUUUUAAAUCUUUAAAAGCUUGUAGACUUUUACGAGUCAUUAGGAAAAAAGUCAACCAUGUAGAAAGAUGAGCAAAAUAAAUUAAUACGAAUUACUCAGAAGAAGGAACAUAGUGACUAUUAACAUGAAAAUGUAUUCACCCUUAUUAGUAAUAAGGGAAAUGUAAAUUAAAACCAUACUGAGAUACUAUUUCAUAUGUACCAGAUUGUCAAAAAUUUUAAAUGUCUGACAUCAAGUGUUGGGGAGGUGUGGAGCUGCAGGAACUCGUACUCAUAUAUUGCUGCUGGUAGGAAUAUUAACCACUUUGAAGGAGGUUUGGCAUUAUUUGGGAAAGUUGAACUUCAGCAUGUGUUUCAGUUACCUAUUGCUUUAACAAACCACCCUAAAACUUAAUGGUUUGAAAUGACAAUGCUUUAUUAUUAUUCACACUUCUCUGGGUUGACUGGGUUCUUCUGCUCUAUAUAGUAUAAGUUGAAGUCAUUCAUAUGGCUCCUUUUAGCUGGAUUCUUGACUGGGGCUGAAACAUCCUAAAUGACCUCUUACCCUCCAGGGCCUUUCUCCCAUGGCCUCUCGUCAGUUGAUAAUCUGUCUCUCUUCUUUACAGCAUAGCAUUUGGCUUCCAGGAGAAAAUGGAAACUACCAGCCAUUUUAUAGUGUGGUCUUGGAAAUUCCAGAAUAUCAUUUCAUCAUAUUCUAUUGCUCAAAAAAGUCAUAAGGUGAACCCAGACUCAAGGGGAAGGGGAAAAUAUACUCCUUCUCUUGAUGGAAGGGAUGCCAAAGGAUUUGUGGUCAUGUUUAAUCUACAACUGUGUCCUGUAAUCCGGCAGUUUCACCCGUAGGUGUAUGCCCUAGAGAAACUCACGCACAUGUGACUGGAAAAAGUGUACAAGAUUAUUUUUAGCACCAUUGUUCAUAAUAGAAAAAAAAAACCUGGAAACGAUCCCCAAAGUCCAUAAACAGUAGAAUGAAUAAGUACUUUAUGGUAUGGUCAUAUGUGAAAUACUGUAUAUUAAUUAAAGUAAGUGUAACUAUUUGCACCAAAAUAUGGGUAAGUCUCCAAACCAUGUUUUGUGAAAGAAGCAAGUCAUAGAGUAACAUAUACUGUAUGAAUCUAUUAUAUAAAGUUCAACAUUAGGCAAAAAUUAAACAGUUUAUUGUUCAGAUCAUGGUUAGGCAAACUUUAUCUGUAAAGGUCCAGAUAGUAAAUAUUUUAGAUUUCCUGGGCAAGAGGCAAAAUUGGAGAUACUAUGUAGGUGUAAGAGAUGUAUCUAUAACCUCACAUAUAAGAGAUGUAUGUAUAAUGAGAGAAAACCAAUUUCCACGGUAUUUUUUAAUUGGUGAAAUUCAAAAUAAGUACUUCUUUUGUAAUACAUAUCUACUAAUGACAAGAAUGAAAUUCUUUUCUGGGGAGAAGGAAGAGUGUGUUGGUUUCCUAGGGCUGCCGUAACAAAAUACCACCAAUUGAGUGGCUUUAAACAAAUUUAUUUUCUUAAAGUUCUGGAGGCUGGAAGUAUGAAGUCCAGGUGUUAGCAGGGCCAUGCUCUGAUAUUCUGGGUAGAAUUCUUCCUUACCUCUUCCUAGCUUCUGGUGAUAGCUGGCAGUCCUUGUGUUCUUAGCUGCUUUGUUCCCAUCUCUGCCUCUGUCAUCAUGUGGUAUCCUCCUUGUGUGUCUGUCUUUACAUAGUCUUUCUUCCUCUUAAAGAGACAGCAGUCAUAUUGGAUUAAGGAUCCACCCUACUCCAGUAUGACCUCAUUAUAACUAAUCACAUCUGCAGCAACCCUGUUUCCAAAUAAGGUCUCAUUCGGGGGUACUGGAGGUUAAGACUUCAACAUAUCCUAACAUUUUGGUAGAUAUAAUUCAAUCUGUGACAGGGAGGUACAAUUGUAUUUUGGUGAAUACAGUUCAAGCCAUAACAGGGAGAUAAUGUUUUGCUUAACUGGGGUUUAAAAUUGGUGUUCCCUAUCAUCAAAUUGAUCAUAAAUGUUCAUCUGUGAAAACGAUUCUUCACUCUAGGACUAUGCACAAAGCAGAUGGAGGAUUGGGUUUAGUCCUGGGCUUAGACAUAGAUAUGUAAGUGUUAGGAAUAGUAAAAAAACAAGGGAAUGAGUAAUAAUAUUUAAAGUAGUUGUGAGAGGAGAUUGGUUCAAGAUGGUGGAGUAGAAGGACAUGCACUCACUCCCUCUUGGGAGAGCACUGGAAUCACAACUACCUGCUGAAUAAUCAUCGACAGGAAGACACUGGAAAUCAACAAAAAAGAUACUCCACAUCCAAAGACAAAGGAGGAGCCGCAAUGAGACGGUAGGAAGCGUGCAAUCACAAUAAAAUCAAAUCCCAUAACUGCUGGGUGGGUGACUCACAAACUGGAGAAUGAUUAUACCCCAGAAGUCCACCCACUUGAGUGAAGGUUCUGAGCCCCACAUCAGGCUUCCCAACCUGGGGGUCUGGCAACGAGAGGAGGAAUUCCCAGAGAAUCAGACUUUGAAGGCUAGUGGGAUUUGAUUGCAGGACUUCGACAGGACUGGGGGGAACAGAGACUCCACUCUUGGAGGGCACACACAAAGUAGUGUGCACACCAGGACCCAGCAGUAGGAGCAAUGACCCCAUAGGAGACUGAACCAGACCUACCUGCUAGUGUUAGACGGUCUCCUGCAGAGGCAGGGGGCAGCUGUGACUCACUGCAGGGACAAGGACACUAGCAGUAGAAGUUCUGGGAAGUACACCCUGGCGUGAGCCCUCCGGGAGUGUGCCAUUAGCCCCACCAAGGAGCCUGUGGGCUCCGGUGCUAGGUCGCCUCAGGCCAAACAACCAGUAGGAGGGAACUCAGCUGCACCCAUCAGCAGACAAGUUUUACUGAGCUCUGCCUGCCAGGGCAAUACCCAGCUCUACCCACCACCAGUUCCUUGCAUCAGGAAGCUUGCACAACCCUCUUAGAUAGCCUCAUCCACCAGAGGGCAAACAGCAUAAGCAAGAAGAACUACAAUCCUGCAGCCUGUGGGAAAAAAAACACAUUCACAGAAAGACAAGAUGAAAAGGCAGAGGACUAGGUACCAGAUGAAGGAACAAGAUAACCCCACCCCCCCACCAAAAAAACUAAAUGAAGUGGAGAUAGGCAACCAUUCAGAAUAAUGAUACUGAAGAUGAUCCAGGACCUUGGAAAAAGAAUGGAGGCAAAGAUUGAGAAGAUGCAAGAAAUGUUUAACAAAGACCUAGAAGAGUGAAAGAACAAACACCUAGAAGAAUUAAAGAACAAACAGAUGAACAAUACAAUAACUGAAAUUAAAAAUACACUAGAAGGAAUCAAUAGCAGAGUAACUGAGGCAGAAGAACAGAUAAGUGACCUGAAAGACAGAAUGGUAGAAUUCACUGCCGCAGAACAGAAUAAAGAAAAAAGAAUGAAAAUAAAUGAAGACCGCCUAAGAGAUCUCGAGGACAACAUUAAAUGCACCAACAUUCACAUUAUAGGGGUCCCAGAAGGAGAAGAGAGAGAGAAAGGACCCGAGAAAAUAUUUGAAGAGAUUAUAGUCAAAAACUUCCCUAACAUGGGAAAGAAAAUAGCCACCCAAGUCCAGGAAGCCUGGAGAGUUCCAGGCAGGAUAAACCCAAGGAGAAACACACUGAGACACAUAGUAAACAAAUUGAUAAAAAAGACAAACAUUAUUAAAAGCAACAAGGGAAAAACGACAAAGGACAUACAAGGGAACUCCCAUAAGGUUAACAGCUGAUUUCUCAGCAGAAACUCUACAAGCCAGAAGGGAGUGGCACGAUAUUUAAAGUGAUGAAAGGGAAGAACUGACAACCAUGAUUACUCUGUCUGGCAAGGAUCUCAUUCAGAUUCGACCGAGAAAUCAAAGCUUUGCAGACAAGCAAAAGCUAAGAGACUUCAGCACAGCACCACCAAACCAGCU
Orcinus orca (killer whale) is the source of this 8101-nucleotide long non-coding RNA. RefSeq lists it as uncharacterized. The transcript has 2 exons. The record is from RefSeq and is a predicted model, not a curated record. NCBI's taxonomy places the organism in Eukaryota, Metazoa, Chordata, Mammalia, Artiodactyla, Delphinidae.